CUAAGAGACACUAUAAAGUUCAACCUGAACACAAGUUUAACCUGAACACAGUUCAACAAGCUGAAGAAUGAAGACACUGCUGCUGUCUCUGCUCUGUCUGUGUGUGUGGAGUCAGUCCACAGAAGCUUUAACUGAUCAGCAGGUGCUUUUAGGACACAAUGUGACUUUAGCCUGUGAGUUUAAAUGUAAAGCCGCUAUAUGGUUUUUGAUUAAACUGCCAGCUCGUCCAAUGAUGAUAAUGCGAACAUUCGGAUCUGAAGAGACUGAUUAUUAUGAUGAAAAAUUCCGCAACAAAUAUUUAGAGGGAAACAGGAGCGAAAUAAUAAUCAAUAAUGUCAGUGUUGAUGAUUUGGGAAUUUAUUACUGUAUAAAAGCAGGCUGGGCUUUAAAGAUCAGUGACGGUAUCAGACUGCACACCGCUGAAGUCUGACAUGAACUUCAGUGAGUAUGACUGAGGAAUAACAUCCAUUAAGACCAGCAGCACUGACAGAUCCUGAACAUCUACAAGUUCAGCCAAACUCUGUGUACAAAAAAC
Molecule: long non-coding RNA, 535 nt
Organism: Carassius auratus (goldfish)
Lineage: Eukaryota; Metazoa; Chordata; Actinopteri; Cypriniformes; Cyprinidae
Exons: 3
Source: RefSeq, a predicted model, not a curated record